This 176-nucleotide ribosomal RNA is filed under the name uncultured eukaryote. Its description in RNAcentral is "partial 18S ribosomal RNA". It matches the Rfam family "Eukaryotic small subunit ribosomal RNA", at positions 1299 to 1458 of the family's 1831-position model. The record is from RNAcentral.
UCGUGGAGUGGUUUGUCUGGUCUAUUCCGAUAACGAGCGAGACCCCAACGGUUUAAAUAGGGGCUGCAGCCCGGCUUGGUCUGCCUUCACGGGCGGGCCUUGUCAGCCGCAUGCCUCGCAAGCAAGCUUCUUAGACGGAUCGGGGCCGAUAAGGUCUCUGAAAUGGGUUAAUAACA